RNAcentral lists this ribosomal RNA (895 nucleotides) under uncultured bacterium. Its description in RNAcentral is "bacterial SSU rRNA". It matches the Rfam family "Bacterial small subunit ribosomal RNA", at positions 8 to 916 of the family's 1533-position model. The record is from RNAcentral.
AGAGUUUGAUCAUGGCUCAGGACGAACGCUGGCGGCGUGCUUAACACAUGCAAGUCGAACGAUGAACCACUUCGGUGGGGAUUAGUGGCGAACGGGUGAGUAACACGUGGGCAAUCUGCCCUGCACUCUGGGACAAGCCCUGGAAACGGGGUCUAAUACCGGAUACUGACCCGCUUGGGCAUCCAAGCGGUUCGAAAGCUCCGGCGGUGCAGGAUGAGCCCGCGGCCUAUCAGCUUGUUGGUGAGGUAAUGGCUCACCAAGGCGACGACGGGUAGCCGGCCUGAGAGGGCGACCGGCCACACUGGGACUGAGACACGGCCCAGACUCCUACGGGAGGCAGCAGUGGGGAAUAUUGCACAAUGGGCGAAAGCCUGAUGCAGCGACGCCGCGUGAGGGAUGACGGCCUUCGGGUUGUAAACCUCUUUCAGCAGGGAAGAAGCGAAAGUGACGGUACCCGCAGAAGAAGCGCCGGCUAACUACGUGCCAGCAGCCGCGGUAAUACGUAGGGCGCGAGCGUUGUCCGGAAUUAUUGGGCGUAAAGAGCUCGUAGGCGGCUUGUCACGUCGGUUGUGAAAGCCCGGGGCUUAACCCCGGGUCUGCAGUCGAUACGGGCAGGCUAGAGUUCGGUAGGGGAGAUCGGAAUUCCUGGUGUAGCGGUGAAAUGCGCAGAUAUCAGGAGGAACCACCGGUGGCGAAGGCGGAUCUCUGGGCCGAUACUGACGCUGAGGAGCGAAAGCGUGGGGAGCGAACAGGAUUAGAUACCCUGGUAGUCCACGCCGUAAACGGUGGGCACUAGGUGUGGGCGACAUUCCACGUCGUCCGUGCCGCAGCUAACGCAUUAAGUGCCCCGCCUGGGGAGUACGGCCGCAAGGCUAAAACUCAAAGGAAUUGACGG